This 460-nucleotide ribosomal RNA is filed under the name uncultured ammonia-oxidizing beta proteobacterium. RNAcentral's name for it is "bacterial SSU rRNA". It matches the Rfam family "Bacterial small subunit ribosomal RNA", at positions 202 to 645 of the family's 1533-position model. Lineage: Bacteria; Pseudomonadati; Pseudomonadota; Betaproteobacteria. The record is from RNAcentral.
AAGCAGGGGAUCGCAAGACCUUGCGCUCUUGGAGUGGCCGAUGCCUGAUUAGCUAGUUGGUGGGGUAAGGGCCUACCAAGGCGACGAUCAGUAGUUGGUCUGAGAGGACGACCAGCCACACUGGGACUGAGACACGGCCCAGACUCCUACGGGAGGCAGCAGUGGGGAAUUUUGGACAAUGGGCGAAAGCCUGAUCCAGCAAUGCCGCGUGAGUGAAGAAGGCCUUCGGGUUGUAAAGCUCUUUCAGUCGAGAAGAAAAGGUCGCGACUAAUAAUCGCGACUCAUGACGGUAUCGACAGAAGAAGCACCGGCUAACUACGUGCCAGCAGCCGCGGUAAUACGUAGGGUGCGAGCGUUAAUCGGAAUUAUUGGGCGUAAAGGGUGCGCAGGCGGCUUUGUAAGUCAGAUGUGAAAUCCCCGGGCUUAACCUGGGAAUUGCGUUUGAAACUACAAAGCUUAG